CCUACGGGUGGCAGCAGUGAGGAAUAUUGGUCAAUGGGCGUAAGCCUGAACCAGCCAAGCCGCGUGAGGGAUGAAGGUUCUAUGGAUCGUAAACCUCUUUUAUAAGGGAACAAAGUGCGGGACGUGUCCCGUUCUGUAUGUACCUUAUGAAUAAGGAUCGGCUAACUCCGUGUCAGCAGCCGCGGUAAUACGGAGGAUCCGAGCGUUAUCCGGAUUUAUUGGGUUUAAAGGGUGCGUAGGCGGUCUUUUAAGUCAGCGGUGAAAGUCUGUGGCUCAACCCUAGAAUUGCCGUUGAAACUGGCAGGCUUGAGUUUGUUUGAGGCAGGCGGAAGGCGUGGUGUAGCGGUGAAAUGCUUAGAUAUCGCGCAGAACCCCGAUUGCGAAGGCAGCCUGCCGGGCCAUGACUGACGCUGAUGCACGAAAGCGUGGGGAUCGAACAGGAUUAGAUACCCUGGUAGUC
Molecule: ribosomal RNA, 460 nt
Filed under: uncultured bacterium
Lineage: Bacteria
Description: partial 16S ribosomal RNA
Rfam family: Bacterial small subunit ribosomal RNA
Source: RNAcentral